This 334-nucleotide unclassified non-coding RNA is filed under the name soil metagenome. RNAcentral's name for it is "partial contains 5.8S ribosomal RNA, internal transcribed spacer 2, and large subunit ribosomal RNA". The stretch from base 1 to 120 matches the Rfam family "5.8S ribosomal RNA", at positions 35 to 154 of the family's 154-position model. The record is from RNAcentral.
GAUGAAGAACGCAGCGAAAUGCGAUAAGUAAUGUGAAUUGCAGAAUUCAGUGAAUCAUCGAAUCUUUGAACGCACAUUGCGCCCGCCAGUAUUCUGGCGGGCAUGCCUGUUCGAGCGUCAUUUCAACCAUCAAGCCCCCGGCUUGUGUUGGGGACCUGCGGCUGCCGCAGGCCCUGAAAUGCAGUGGCGGGUUCGCUGUCACUCCGAGCGUAGUAGUUACAUCUCGCUCUGGGCGUGCUGCGGGUUCCGGCCGUUAAAAGCCUUAUUUACCCAAGGUUGACCUCGGAUCAGGUAGGAAGACCCGCUGAACUUAAGCAUAUCAAUAAGCGGAGGA